Molecule: transfer RNA, 69 nt
Filed under: Podarcis siculus (Italian wall lizard)
Lineage: Eukaryota; Metazoa; Chordata; Lepidosauria; Squamata; Lacertidae
Description: tRNA-Thr
Rfam family: tRNA
About the family: Transfer RNA (tRNA) molecules are approximately 80 nucleotides in length. Their secondary structure includes four short double-helical elements and three loops (D, anti-codon, and T loops). Further hydrogen bonds mediate the characteristic L-shaped molecular structure. tRNAs have two regions of fundamental functional importance: the anti-codon, which is responsible for specific mRNA codon recognition, and the 3' end, to which the tRNAs corresponding amino acid is attached (by aminoacyl-tRNA synthetases). tRNAs cope with the degeneracy of the genetic code in two manners: having more than one tRNA (with a specific anti-codon) for a particular amino acid; and 'wobble' base-pairing, i.e. permitting non-standard base-pairing at the 3rd anti-codon position.
Source: RNAcentral
GUCCUAGUAGCUUAAAAUCAAAGCACUGGUCUUGUAAACCAGAAAUGAGACUUUCCCCCUCCUAGGACA